GGCCUAACACAUGCAAGUCGAGCGGAAACGACACUAACAAUCCUUCGGGUGCGUUAAUGGGCGUCGAGCGGCGGACGGGUGAGUAAUGCCUAGGAAAUUGCCUUGAUGUGGGGGAUAACCAUUGGAAACGAUGGCUAAUACCGCAUAAUGCCUACGGGCCAAAGAGGGGGACCUUCGGGCCUCUCGCGUCAAGAUAUGCCUAGGUGGGAUUAGCUAGUUGGUGAGGUAAUGGCUCACCAAGGCGACGAUCCCUAGCUGGUCUGAGAGGAUGAUCAGCCACACUGGAACUGAGACACGGUCCAGACUCCUACGGGAGGCAGCAGUGGGGAAUAUUGCACAAUGGGCGAAAGCCUGAUGCAGCCAUGCCGCGUGUAUGAAGAAGGCCUUCGGGUUGUAAAGUACUUUCAGUUGUGAGGAAGGGGGUAGCGUUAAUAGCGCUAUCUCUUGACGUUAGCAACAGAAGAAGCACCGGCUAACUCCGUGCCAGCAGCCGCGGUAAUACGGAGGGUGCGAGCGUUAAUCGGAAUUACUGGGCGUAAAGCGCAUGCAGGUGGUUCAUUAAGUCAGAUGUGAAAGCCCGGGGCUCAACCUCGGAACUGCAUUUGAAACUGGUGAACUAGAGUACUGUAGAGGGGGGUAGAAUUUUCAGGUGUAGCGGUGAAAUGCGUAUAGAUCUGAAGGGAAUACCAGUGGCUAAGGCGGCCCCCUGGAACAGAUACUGACACU
RNAcentral lists this ribosomal RNA (726 nucleotides) under Vibrio sp. AOH-35. RNAcentral describes it as "bacterial SSU rRNA". It matches the Rfam family "Bacterial small subunit ribosomal RNA", at positions 45 to 747 of the family's 1533-position model. Lineage: Bacteria; Pseudomonadati; Pseudomonadota; Gammaproteobacteria; Vibrionales; Vibrionaceae. The record is from RNAcentral.